CCUACGGGUGUCAGCAGUGAGGAAUAUUGGUCAAUGGGCUUACGCCUGAACCAGCCAAGUCGCGUGAGGGAAGACUGCCCUAUGGGUUGUAAACCUCUUUUGUCAGGGAGCAACGCAGGCUACGUGUAGCCGGACUGAGAGUACCUGAAGAAAAAGCAUAGGCUAACUCCGUGCCAGCAGCCGCGGUCAUACGGAGGAUGCGAGCGUUAUCCGGAGUUAUUGGGUUUAAGGGGUGCGUAGGCGGAAUGCCAAGUCAGCGGUAAAAUAUCGGGGAACAACCUCGCUCCGCCGUUGAAACUGGCGUUCUUACGUGGACGAGAAGUAUGCGGAAUGCGUGGGGUAGCGGUGAAAUGCAUAGAUAUCACGCAGAACUCCGAUUGCGAAGGCAGCAUACCGGCGCCCAACUGACGCUGAAGCACGAAAGCGUGGGUAUCGAACAGGAUUAGAUACCCCUGUAGUC
This 460-nucleotide ribosomal RNA is filed under the name uncultured bacterium. RNAcentral describes it as "partial 16S ribosomal RNA". It matches the Rfam family "Bacterial small subunit ribosomal RNA", at positions 338 to 795 of the family's 1533-position model. The record is from RNAcentral.